GUCAGUUUGGCCGAGUGGUUAAGGCGCUUGACUCGAACGGCGAAAUCAAGUUCUCUUUGGGAUCACAGGUUCGAAUCCUGUAGCUGACG
Molecule: transfer RNA, 89 nt
Organism: Wallemia ichthyophaga EXF-994
Lineage: Eukaryota; Fungi; Basidiomycota; Wallemiomycetes; Wallemiales; Wallemiaceae
Rfam family: tRNA
About the family: Transfer RNA (tRNA) molecules are approximately 80 nucleotides in length. Their secondary structure includes four short double-helical elements and three loops (D, anti-codon, and T loops).
Source: Rfam